Scleropages formosus (Asian bonytongue) is the source of this 1708-nucleotide long non-coding RNA. RefSeq lists it as uncharacterized. The transcript has 3 exons. Lineage: Eukaryota; Metazoa; Chordata; Actinopteri; Osteoglossiformes; Osteoglossidae. The record is from RefSeq and is a predicted model, not a curated record.
ACGGAUUCCAGCGGGCCUCGCAUUUUGGUUGAACUCACAGAGAGGAUUAUUCAUUUGUCUCGCUUUUGAAAACAAACCUCCUUUUUUCCUUACUUGACGCAGUGUGCAGUAUUUUUUUUCUCUGUCCUUUCUGUUUCUAAUCUUGUAUCUCCUGUAGCUGUACAACUGAACUGGGACUCUCUCAAAUUGCCGGUUUUCUGCACAGGAAGAGCUCAUCGGUCUUGAGCGGUGUCAUUAGCUAUUAGGGUGCCCACACGUCAAUGGUGCUGAGAAAAAAGAGAAAGGGGUGAAAUAUCUAGCAGAAUCGCGCUCAAUGUCAAUGAGAUUAUUAGUGCUUCAAGGGAGCAUGGAGGGUGUGUACACUCCGAUGAAGUACAUUAAUCAACUGAACUGCCGUGUGGGGUGAAAUGGACAUCGAAGGAGGGGCAGCGGAGAAAGGGAGAAGGCGCCCCACCUACCCCAACAACAUGCCCCACCCACUGCCCCACCACCCUCUACCCCAACCUCUGACAGGAGACACUGUCCUUUCAACAGCAGGACUGAUGCAUCCUGGGGGAAAUGGGCCAGGACAGCUGCAGAGAAACCCCGGCACCUCCUCAACAAGUGUCUCGGGAGGAAACGACUCCAGGGAGGAAAGCAGGGUCAUCCGGCAUCGACGGACAAUAAGCAGCUGAAUGUUAAUGUUAAUUAAUAUGUAAUUAUACAUUAGGUACAUUUUAGCUGUCACUGACCUGCAAAAACAGCAUUCAUUAUGCUACAGUCAGUGACGGAAUGCCAUAGCUGACUGCAGUUGGCCAGUUUUAGCCAUACUCUACCUCCGUUUCUGUUACUCUGAAGGCUUACAUACCAUGCUGCUACUCCACUGGUAACAUUCCAAAGUGGCAUCGAUGCAAUUGGCAUCUGUAUAGGUAAUAAAGUGUCAAUGUUUCCUUUCUUUAUGCCAGAUAAACUGCUGUGUGUCUUUCCUGGAUGCUCAGCCAUCAUUCGGUCCACGCCAGAAGGCCGAGCAGAGUAGGACUCCCUCUUGCCAAGCUGCAGCGCCACUCACGAGGCAGCGCAUCCGUCCAAGAUUUCGGCACAUUUGGAGCCAAGAAGAGCUGUGCUGAAACGUUCCCGAGCUGUUGAAUGCUGAACACAGUGGAAAAGCUGCCUGCUCACCGACCCGUUUGCGCAGAGGCCACACGACACGACGUUUAGCAGUUGCACUCUGACACUGGCAGAUGACAUGCCAUGUCACGUCUGAGCAGGGUUGGUGGGCGUUUGACACGAGCACGGACACCUCCACUGCUUCCAUACCAGCAGCAGCACACUUAUGCAGAACAAAUUGUUAAUGGAACAAAACGGCAAACAAAUUACCCUGGUGAUCUUCCAUUUGGUAUGGGAAGAAGCUGAGAGAACUAAAGGUGGCAGGGUUCGAUUCGAAUCUAAUCGUUUCUACUUUAAAGCUGCAGCAGGCUUUGAGGAUUAAUUUCUGAUGUAUGAAAACAAAUGGUUAUUUAAUCAUAAACCUCUCUCACCCCUAUUAUAAUGCUGUGGGGCAACUAUGUGAAAGCUUCUUUUUAUUCUCCACACAGUGGUUAGGGGCUGACUCAUAUUUCUCUGCCAACAAUGAUUGUUCUGUCAAAUAGGGAGGAUUCAGUCCUGCAAUUCCUUUGUUUCAUUACUGAACUAAAUUUGUAUCCAUACACUGCUACAGUAAUGUCAGAAU